This 54-nucleotide transfer RNA is filed under the name Dolabella auricularia (sea hare). Its description in RNAcentral is "tRNA-Lys". Lineage: Eukaryota; Metazoa; Mollusca; Gastropoda; Aplysiida; Aplysiidae. The record is from RNAcentral.
GGUGACUGAAAGAUAAAGUGAUAGACUUUUAAUCUAUUUAUGAGUAGAACUCCC